This 443-nucleotide ribosomal RNA is filed under the name uncultured bacterium. RNAcentral describes it as "partial 16S ribosomal RNA". It matches the Rfam family "Bacterial small subunit ribosomal RNA", at positions 338 to 795 of the family's 1533-position model. The record is from RNAcentral.
CCUACGGGUGGCAGUAGUGGGGAAUAUUGGGCAAUGGGCGCAAGCCUGACCCAGCAACGCCGCGUGAAGGAAGAAGGCUUUCGGGUUGGAAACUUCUUUUCUCAGGGACGAAGAAAGUGACGGUACCUGCGGAAUAAGCCACGGCUAACUACGUGCCAGCAGCCGCGGUAAUACGUAGGUGGCAAGCGUUAUCCGGAUUUAUUGGGUUGAAAGGGCUUGUAGGUUGGAGCGCAAGUCAGAUGUGAAAACUCAGGGCUCAACCCUUACCCUGCAUUUGAAACUGUGUUUCUUGAGUGCUGGGGAGGCAAUCGGAAUUCCGUGUGUAGCGGUGAAAUGCGUAGAUAUACGGAGGAACACCAGUGGCGAAGGCGGAUUGCUGGACAGUAACUGACGCUGAGGCGCGAAAGCGUGGGGAGCAAACAGGAUUAGAUACCCUUGUAGUG